Molecule: RNA transcript, 1473 nt
Organism: Sapajus apella (tufted capuchin)
Lineage: Eukaryota; Metazoa; Chordata; Mammalia; Primates; Cebidae
Gene name: ADP/ATP translocase 3-like
Exons: 1
Source: RefSeq, a predicted model, not a curated record
UAGUGAUAAAUGUGUUACUGACUUACGUAUUUACUCUACUUUUAAUCAUUGUUUUGGAGUAUACUCCACCUACCUAUUAAAAAAAAGUUAACGGUAAAACAGUUUCACUUCAGACAGGUCUUUCAGGAGGUGUUCCAGAAGAAGGCUUUAGUAUCAUAGGGGAUGACAGCUCCAUGUGUGCUAUUCCCCCUAAAGACCUUCCACUGGGACAAGACGUGAGCGUGGAAGACAGUGAUAUUGAUGGUCCUGACCCUGUGUAGGUCUAAGCUAAUGUGUUUGUGUCUUUGUUUUUAACCAAAAAUUUACAAAGUAAAAAUUUUUUAAUUUUUUAAGUAGAAAAAAGCUUAUAGAAUAAGACUAUACAGGUACUAUUUUUGUACAGCUGUGCAAUGUGUUUAAGCUGUUAUUUCAAAAGAGUCAAAAAUUAAAAAAAAUUAAAAAGUAUAUAAAGUAGAUCCCCUCUCUUCACUCUCCGUGCCCGCUCUCCUGCUGUCAGCCCGCUCCGCUGCCUGCCCCGCCACCAUGACGGAACAAGCCAUCUCCUUCGCCACAGACUUCCUGGCAGGAGGCAUCCCCGCCGCCAUCUCCAAAAUGGCCAUGGCCCGGAUCGAGUGGGUCAAGCUGCUGCUGCAGGUCCAGCAUGCCAGCGAGCAGAUCGCUGCCGACAAGCAGUAUAAGGGCAUUGUUUACUGCAUCGUCCGCAUCCCCAAGGAGCAGGGCGUGCUGUCCUUCUGGAGGGCAACCUGGCCACCGUCAUCCUCUACUUCCCCACGCAAGCCCUCAACUUCACCUUCAAGCAUAAGAACAAGCAGAUCUUCCUGGGAGGCGUGGACAAGCACACGCAGUUCUGGAGGUACUUUGUGGGCAACCUGGCCUCCGGCGGUGCAGCCAGCGCGACCUCCCUGUGCUUCGUGUACCCCCUGGAUUUUGCCAGAACCUGCCGGGUAACUGACGUGGGAAAGUCAGGCACGGAGUGUGAGUUCCGAGGCCUGGGAGACUGCCUGGCAAAGACCACCAAGUCUCACGGUGUCCGCCGCCUGUCCCAGGGCUUCAGUGUCUCCAUGCAGGGCAUCAUCAUCUACCGGGCCGCCUACUUUGGCGUGUACGAUACGGUCAAGGGUGUGCUCCCCGACCGCAAGAAUACACACAUCAUGGUGGGCUGGAUGAUUGCUCAGACCCUGACGGCAGUGGCAGGUGUGGUCUCCUACCCCUUCCACACGGUGUGGCUGCGGAUGAUGAUGCAGUCGGGGCGCAAAGGAAGUGACGUCAUGUACACGGGCACCUUCCACUGUUGGAGGAAGACCUUCAGAGACGAGGGGGGCAAGGCCUCCUUCAAGGGUGCGUGGUCCAACGUCCUCUGGGGCAUGGGGGCGCCUUCGUGCUGGUCCUGUACGACGAGCCGAAGAAGGUCAUCUAAGGGCCUUGGCCCCCUCCACACACACCAGGGGAACCAAGAGAACCACUAGAAUCCUC